ACGGCUGCUCAGUAACACGUAGUCAACCUAACCUAUGGACGGGAAUAACCUCGGGAAACUGAGAAUAAUGCCCGAUAGAACACUAUACCUGGAAUGGUUUGUGUUCCAAAUGAUUUAUCGCCGUAGGAUGGGACUGCGGCCUAUCAGUUUGUUGGUGAGGUAAUGGCCCACCAAGACUAUUACAGGUACGGGCUCUGAGAGGAGUAGCCCGGAGAUGGGUACUGAGACACGGACCCAGGCCCUAUGGGGCGCAGCAGGCGAGAAAACUUUGCAAUGUGCGAAAGCACGACAAGGUUAAUCCGAGUGGUUUCUGCUAAAGGAACCUUUUGUUAGUCCUAGAAACACUAACGAAUAAGGGGUGGGCAAGUUCUGGUGUCAGCCGCCGCGGUAAAACCAGCACCUCAAGUGGUCAGGAUGAUUAUUGGGCCUAAAGCAUCCGUAGCCGGCUCUGUAAGUUUUCGGUUAAAUCUGUACGCUCAACGUACAGGCUGCCGGGGAUACUGCAGAGCUAGGGAGUGGGAGAGGUAGACGGUACUCGGGAGGAAGUGGUAAAAUGCUUUGAUCUCUCGAUGACCACCUGUGGCGAAGGCGGUCUACCAGAACACGUCCGACGGUGAGGGAUGAAAGCUGGGGGAGCAAACCGGAUUAGAUACCCGGGUAGUCCCAGCUGUAAACUAUGCAAACUCAGUGAUGCAUUGGCUUGUGGCCAAUGCAGUAUUGCAAGGAAGCCGUUAAGUUUGCCGCCUGGGAAGUACGUACGCAAGUAUGAAACUUAAAGGAAUUGGCGGGGGAGCAG
Molecule: ribosomal RNA, 796 nt
Filed under: uncultured marine thaumarchaeote
Lineage: Archaea; Thermoproteati; Nitrososphaerota
Description: bacterial SSU rRNA
Rfam family: Archaeal small subunit ribosomal RNA
Source: RNAcentral